RNAcentral lists this ribosomal RNA (240 nucleotides) under uncultured bacterium. RNAcentral's name for it is "partial 16S ribosomal RNA". It matches the Rfam family "Bacterial small subunit ribosomal RNA", at positions 537 to 776 of the family's 1533-position model. The record is from RNAcentral.
AGCGUUGUCCGGAAUUAUUGGGCGUAAAGAGCUCGUAGGCGGUCUGUUGCGUCCGCUGUGAAAACCCGGGGCUUAACCCCUGGCUUGCAGUGGAUACGGACAGACUAGAGGUAGGUAGGGGAGAAUGGAAUUCCCGGUGUAGCGGUGAAAUGCGCAGAUAUCAGGUGGAACACCAGUGGCGAAGGCGGCUUUCUGGACGGUAACUGACGCUGAGACGCGAAAGCGUGGGGAGCAAACAGG